This 34-nucleotide ribosomal RNA is filed under the name uncultured Glomus. RNAcentral's name for it is "partial 28S ribosomal RNA". The record is from RNAcentral. Lineage: Eukaryota; Fungi; Glomeromycota; Glomeromycetes; Glomerales; Glomeraceae.
UGACCUCAAAUCAGGUAAGAAUACCCGCUGAACU